CUUCUAGGGAGACCCGCUGCGCCAGAAACAGAGCCUUGGAGGACGAGAGGAUCGUGAGGUCUCCGGACCCAGCCCCGAAAGCCGGAGGUCCCUUCCCCUUUGGCGGAGCGGAGCUUGGGGCCGGCCUGGUGGUGCAGCGGUUAAGUUCGCACGUUCCACUUCUUGGCGGCCUGGGGUUCACCGGUUUGGAUCCCGGGUGCGGACAUGGCACCACUUGGCAAAAGCCAUGCUGUGGAGCUGCGGCUGCCGCUGCCCAGCGUCACGCGAGAGGAUCAGACUGCAUAUCGCCAGCCCAAGAAAACGUCAAAAUUCAAAAUACGAAGUAUGGUUUCUACUAAAUGCGUAUUGCUUUUGCACCAUCGUUAAGUUGAAAAAUGGCAGGAGUGUGCACUUCUCAUCUUCCACCAUCUUUCCUGCUGGCUGCAGAAGUUAUGUCUGGCGCUAGAGCAGUCAUCUUGGACCAUGAGGUAGAAGCCAUGCACUGAAGAUGAAGAAACCACAGAGAAGGCACCUGGUUUAUUUGUCUAUACCCAGGCUAAAAGGACACUAUCCUAAUUACUGUUGCUUUAAAAUAAACCACGAUAGCUGCUAGGGCAAGUAUUCCCAUUUUAUUUUCCUCCUUUAACAGUGUCUGGGCUACUCUUGGUCCUUUGAACUACUGGAAUUUUAAAUCUGUCAACUGUGGUAAAGUGAAGAUGGUCAUAAAUUCUCUGACACUCCUCCUAUUGAGAGGUGGUCUAUUUGCCUUUCCCUUGAAUCUGGCUGGUCUUAGUGACUUAUGGUGGAAGCGGUGCUGUGUGACUUCUGAAACUGGGUCAGAAGAUGCCUUUCAGCUUCCACCUUGGUCUCUUGGAAAGCUCACUCUCCAGACACUCUCUCAAAUGACUCCCUCUCGGGUUACUCCCUCACCAUCCUGUGAGAUGUCCAGGUCACAUAGACAGGCCAUUUGUAGACGCUAUAAUUGACAGCUCCAGCUGUGUUUCUAGCCUCCAGCCAGAUUCAACAGCAUCAUGUGAGGGCGCCAUCUUAGACAGCCAGCCUUCAGAUGACUCCAGUCCUGUAGUCAACACCUGUCUGCAACCACAUUAGACGCUCUAAGAAAGGAUUAUCCAGCUGACCCCUUCCUGGAUUCCUAACCCACAAAAUUGUGAGCAAAAUAAAAUGAUUUUUAAGCCACUAAGUUUGGGGGUAGUUUGUUAUGCAGCAAUAGAUAACCAGAUUAUCAAAUUCUACUAAAAAAAAAGUGUUGAGAUUUGAUCAAGAUGCCAUUGAAUCUGUAGAUCGAGUUGAAGAAAACUGACACCUUUAUAAUAUUGAAUCUUUGAAUCCUUAACAUGGUAUAUCUUCUGUUUAUUUAGAUGUUCUUUAAUGCCUCUCUGUUUUAUAAUUUUCUCCCGAAAAGUCUGUGCUCGAGGCUUAUUGUGC
Molecule: long non-coding RNA, 1425 nt
Filed under: Equus asinus (donkey)
Lineage: Eukaryota; Metazoa; Chordata; Mammalia; Perissodactyla; Equidae
Description: lncRNA (ENSEASG00005030802.1)
Source: RNAcentral